RNAcentral lists this ribosomal RNA (492 nucleotides) under uncultured bacterium. RNAcentral describes it as "partial 16S ribosomal RNA". It matches the Rfam family "Bacterial small subunit ribosomal RNA", at positions 29 to 507 of the family's 1533-position model. The record is from RNAcentral.
AGUGAACGCUGGCGGUAGGCCUAACACAUGCAAGUCGAACGGCAGCACAGUAAGAGCUUGCUCUUACGGGUGGCGAGUGGCGGACGGGUGAGGAAUACAUCGGAAUCUACUUUUUCGUGGGGGAUAACGUAGGGAAACUUACGCUAAUACCGCAUACGACCUACGGGUGAAAGCAGGGGAUCUUCGGACCUUGCGCGAUUGAAUGAGCCGAUGUCGGAUUAGCUAGUUGGCGGGGUAAAGGCCCACCAAGGCGACGAUCCGUAGCUGGUCUGAGAGGAUGAUCGGCCACCCUGGAACUUAGACACGGUCCAGACUCCUACGGGAGGCCGCAGUGGGGAAUAUUGGACAAUGGGCGCAAGCCUGAUCCAGCCAUCCCGCGUGGGUGAAGAAGGCCUUCGGGUUGUAAAGCCCUUUUGUUGGGAAAGAAAAGCAGCAGGUUAAUACCCCGCUGUUCUGACGGUACCCAAAGAAUAAGCACCGGCUAACUUCGUG